RNAcentral lists this ribosomal RNA (891 nucleotides) under uncultured bacterium. RNAcentral's name for it is "bacterial SSU rRNA". It matches the Rfam family "Bacterial small subunit ribosomal RNA", at positions 8 to 853 of the family's 1533-position model. The record is from RNAcentral.
AGAGUUUGAUCAUGGUUCAGGAUGAACCGCCGCCGCUGUGCUUAAUACAUGCAAGUCGAACGCGUUGGCCCAACUGAUUGAACGUGCUUGCACGGACUUGACGUUGGUUUACCAGCGAGUGGCGGACGGGUGAGUAACACGUAGGUAACUUGCCCCAAAGCGGGGGAUAACAUUUGGAAACAGAUGCUAAUACCGCAUAACAAUUUGAAUCGCAUGAUUCAAAUUUAAAAGAUGGCUUCGGCUAUCACUUUGGGAUGGACCUGCGGCGCAUUAGCUUGUUGGUAGGGUAACGGCCUACCAAGGCUGUGAUGCGUAGCCGAGUUGAGAGACUGAUCGGCCACAAUGGAACUGAGACACGGUCCAUACUCCUACGGGAGGCAGCAGUAGGGAAUCUUCCACAAUGGGCGCAAGCCUGAUGGAGCAACACCGCGUGAGUGAAGAAGGGUUUCGGCUCGUAAAGCUCUGUUGUUAGAGAAGGACGUGCGUGAGAGUAACUGUUCACGCAGUGACGGUAUCUAACCAGAAAGUCACGGCUAACUACGUGCCAGCAGCCGCGGUAAUACGUAGGUGGCAAGCGUUAUCCGGAUUUAUUGGGCGUAAAGCGAGCGCAGGCGGUUUGAUAAGUCUGAUGUGAAAGCCUUUGGCUUAACCAAAGAAGUGCAUCGGAAACUGUCAGACUUGAGUGCAGAAGAGGACAGUGGAACUCCAUGUGUAGCGGUGGAAUGCGUAGAUAUAUGGAAGAACACCAGUGGCGAAGGCGGCUGUCUGGUCUGCAACUGACGCUGAGGCUCGAAAGCAUGGGUAGCGAACAGGAUUAGAUACCCUGGUAGUCCAUGCCGUAAACGAUGAGUGCUAGGUGUUGGAGGGUUUCCGCCCUUCAGUGCCGCAGCU